This 625-nucleotide long non-coding RNA is filed under the name Gossypium barbadense (sea-island cotton). Its description in RNAcentral is "long non-coding RNA (GBAR_LNC013482)". Lineage: Eukaryota; Viridiplantae; Streptophyta; Magnoliopsida; Malvales; Malvaceae. The record is from RNAcentral.
UCGUUUUCGACGUGUGUGGUUUCUUUUUUGCCAGUUGUUUGUGUAAGUGCUCUUGAACCCUUCUCGUGUUGUAAGUGGGUUCAUUCUUAUUGUUAUUUUCCUUAGUUUGUAGGUUGAAAACGUUCGAUAAGUUCAAUCCGUUGCUUUUCUAGGUGAUGUUGGAGAGACGAUUAAUCCACCGACGACUUAGAAUUUUUGGUGAACUAUUAUUUUCUUGAAGGUGAGAAAUUGAUUUGAGUUUUAAUGUCGCAAUUCUGUGAUAGUAUGUUAAAAUUAGUUUUAUCGUUUGUUGUGAAUCGAGUUAGAAAAUCAUCUCAAAUAGUGCUUUUAAUUGAUGUGUUUAGGUUUCGAAAGCCUUGUGGGUAUUUUUGCAAAAAAAUCGAACAAGUUGUGUAACGAGAAACAUGAAAAACAGCGAACGAAAAAAGUCAAAAAAUUGCACAGUCGACGCCACACGGCCGUGUGCUGGACCAUGUGAGACACACGAUCUGGGCUAUUUGAGCUGUGCUCCAAGCCAUGUGGGCAAUACGGGCUGGCCAUUUAGGCCGUGUGAGCCCAAAAUUCUGAAUUUUUCCCUAGGGCCGUAAGUAUCGUUUGGAUCAAACGUAAGCCUACCGUAGGGUCG